Molecule: non-coding RNA, 26 nt
Filed under: Mus musculus (house mouse)
Lineage: Eukaryota; Metazoa; Chordata; Mammalia; Rodentia; Muridae
Source: RNAcentral
UAGAGCCAGCUGCAGAACAACCAGGA